CAAUAGCGUAUAUUAAAGUUGUUGCAGUUAAAAAGCUCGUAGUUGGAUUUCUGGUUGAAGCGACCGGUCGGGCGUUGAUUCGUCUGCACUGGAGUCGGUUUUGGCCAUCCUCUAGGAAAGUGCGCCUGGUAUUAAGUUAUCGGGCGUAUGAUCCUGGUCUUUUACUGUGAAAAAAUUAGAGUGUUUAAAGCAGGCCUUCGCCUUGAAUACAUUAGCAUGGAAUAAUAAGAUAGGACUUUGGUCUAUUUUGUUGGUUUGCAGACCGAAGUAAUGAUUAAUAGGGAUAGUUGGGGGUAUUUAUAUUCCGAUGUCAGAGGUGAAAUUCUUAGAUUUUCGGAAGAUAAACUUAUGCGAAAGCAUUUACCAAGGAUGUUUNCAUUAA
This 382-nucleotide ribosomal RNA is filed under the name uncultured eukaryote. RNAcentral describes it as "partial 18S ribosomal RNA". It matches the Rfam family "Eukaryotic small subunit ribosomal RNA", at positions 592 to 976 of the family's 1831-position model. The record is from RNAcentral.